AGCCGAAACGCCCACGCGGGCGUCGCGGCGGGUGGUUCCCGUCGCCUGAUGAUGGCAGCCCAAC
Molecule: non-coding RNA, 64 nt
Filed under: Planctomycetota bacterium
Lineage: Bacteria; Pseudomonadati; Planctomycetota
Source: RNAcentral